CAUCAUCCCACAGGAAGUGACAUCAUGACUGGAGCUCAAACAUCAUUACUCAGUGCUAACACGUCACAGAUGCUGGAGAAGCUCAGUCGUCGGAGACACAGGCCAUGGACCUCCCGCACUGAGAGAGAAACAGCAUCAAAUCUGGAGAAAAUGUCAGAUCCUUCAGUGUCUGUUUCUGCCACGUAAUUAAAAAAAGGUAAUUCAGCACAGAGAUCAGGUUUAAAGAAGACGGAUGGAUGACGGUGUGAAUGUGAGCUCAUGUUCUGCCGAGUGCAUUUGUCUCUGUGAAGGUUUGUCUGGUUAGUGAGUGAUCGUCUGAUGUCUGCUCUGUGCUCAUCACAGAGGAAUGACCAUAAAUCAAUCUGACGUCUGCUCUGCUUCACGCUGAAGUGCCGUGUCAAGUGUUUGAAUGCAGGCCCAUGUGCAAGCCAUUUGUUUGGGAUAAACGAGAAGAAAUGAUGGGCUGACGAGCUGCACAUCUGGAUGCACUAACAGCCGAACCGAUGCAUGCUGUCUGCAGGAAUGAAGGAGAAACCUCGAGAUUUCUCAACAGAGACGCGCUUCUUUAUGUGCUGUGAAGGACAGAAACGUAUGAGAGACACCUGCAGCGUUCAGAGGUCAUGUGACCGAUAGAGGAGCAAAGGUCAUGUGACCGAUGAUGAGCCAUCAAAAUAACUGGACUCGACAGAUUAAUAAAAAUGAUUCAGUUUUAUGAAAUUAAAAAAAUCAGUUUCUUGCUUUUAUCUCAGAAUUAUUUUAAACGUUUAGAAAACAGAAUAAGCACCAAAAU
Cyprinus carpio carpio is the source of this 790-nucleotide long non-coding RNA. The record is from Ensembl. NCBI's taxonomy places the organism in Eukaryota, Metazoa, Chordata, Actinopteri, Cypriniformes, Cyprinidae.